CGCCGCGUCAGAGAAGAAGGUUUUCGGAUCGCAAAGCUCUGUUGUUCGGGAAGAACAAGUGCGAGAGCAACUGCUCGCACCUCGACGGUACCCAACCAGAAAGCCACGGCCAACUACGUGCCAGCAGCCGCGGCAAUACGUCGGUGGCAAGCGUUGUCCGGAAUUAUUGGGCGCAAAGGGCUCGCAGGCGGUUUCUCAAGUCAGAUGUGCAAGCCCCCGGCUCAACCGGGGAGGGUCAUUGGAAACUGGGAAACUUCAGUGCAGAAGAGGAGAGUGGAAUUCCACGAGAAGCGGAGAAAUGCGCAGAGAUGUGGAGGAACACCAGUGGCGAAGGCGACUCUCUGGUCUGCAACAGACGCUGAGGAGCGAAAGCGUGGGGAGCGAACAGGAUCAGAUACCCUGGUCGUCCACGCCGUCAACGAUCAGUGCAAAGUGUUCGGGGGUUUCCGCCCCUCAGUGCUGCAGCUCACGCAUACAGCACUCCG
This 485-nucleotide ribosomal RNA is filed under the name Bacillus safensis. Its description in RNAcentral is "bacterial SSU rRNA". It matches the Rfam family "Bacterial small subunit ribosomal RNA", at positions 395 to 871 of the family's 1533-position model. The record is from RNAcentral. Lineage: Bacteria; Bacillati; Bacillota; Bacilli; Caryophanales; Bacillaceae.